Ceratotherium simum simum (southern white rhinoceros) is the source of this 74-nucleotide non-coding RNA. Lineage: Eukaryota; Metazoa; Chordata; Mammalia; Perissodactyla; Rhinocerotidae. The record is from RefSeq and is a predicted model, not a curated record.
AAAGAGUAUGGAUGUAAAUCUUUAUGACUUUGGGUUUGGGAAUGGUUUCUGAGAUAUGACACCAAAAGCAGAAG